Molecule: ribosomal RNA, 468 nt
Filed under: uncultured bacterium
Lineage: Bacteria
Description: partial 16S ribosomal RNA
Rfam family: Bacterial small subunit ribosomal RNA
Source: RNAcentral
GACGAACGCUGGCGGCGUGCUUAACACAUGCAAGUCGAACGGAAAGGCCCUGCUUUUGUGGGGUGCUCGAGUGGCGAACGGGUGAGUAACACGUGAGUAACCUGCCCUUGACUUUGGGAUAACUUCAGGAAACUGGGGCUAAUACCGGAUAGGAGCUCCUGCUGCAUGGUGGGGGUUGGAAAGUUUCGGCGGUUGGGGAUGGACUCGCGGCUUAUCAGCUUGUUGGUGGGGUAGUGGCUUACCAAGGCUUUGACGGGUAGCCGGCCUGAGAGGGUGACCGGCCACAUUGGGACUGAGAUACGGACCAGACUGCUACGGGAGGCAGCAGUGGGGAAUAUUGCACAAUGGGCGGAAGCAUGAUGCAGCAACGCCGCGUGCGGGAUGACGGCCUUCGGGUUGUAAACCGCUUUCGCCUGUGACGAAGCGUGAGUGACGGUAAUGGGUAAAGAAGCACCGGCUAACUACGUG